This is a long non-coding RNA of Carassius gibelio (silver crucian carp), 378 nucleotides long. RefSeq lists it as uncharacterized. NCBI's taxonomy places the organism in Eukaryota, Metazoa, Chordata, Actinopteri, Cypriniformes, Cyprinidae. The transcript is spliced from 4 exons. The record is from RefSeq and is a predicted model, not a curated record.
GGUGAACUCAUGAAAGAAGCUCAUGAAAUACAUUAAUAUGCCUUUUUCAGAAUAUAUUUCGCCAAAUUUAAGAAGUCCCUGACAUCAAAACACUGAGUAUUGUUGUCUCUGUGUCAGAUGGCUUAUUUUGUUCCUGGACUCUUCAGUGAUGAUGAGCAGAGUCUGAGUGAACCUGCUGUCAGACAAUCACUAUUGCACACCAAAUGCUCUUACUCAGCAGAUGGGGACAGCUACCAUCACCCAAUUUUCACCCAAAAGUGGCUGCGCUAUUCGCCAGACUGGGCAGGAGGGACUGGACGACAACUUAUGCAGGCAUCAGAUGACAAUGAAAUGUAAAUAAAGAGUAGAGAAGCUAAUAAACAUGAAUUUGAUUUUAAA